Molecule: non-coding RNA, 69 nt
Organism: Vulgatibacter incomptus
Lineage: Bacteria; Pseudomonadati; Myxococcota; Myxococcia; Myxococcales; Vulgatibacteraceae
Source: Rfam
CGACGCCGCGAGGCGGAGCGAGAAGUCAGCAGAGGCCGUAGUAGCGCCUUCGCACAAGGCGUGAAGGGC